RNAcentral lists this ribosomal RNA (253 nucleotides) under uncultured prokaryote. RNAcentral describes it as "partial 16S ribosomal RNA". It matches the Rfam family "Bacterial small subunit ribosomal RNA", at positions 525 to 777 of the family's 1533-position model. The record is from RNAcentral.
ACAGAGGGCGCGAGCGUUGUCCGGAAUCACUGGGCGUAAAGGGCGCGUAGGCGGCGCGGUAAGUCACUUGUGAAAUCUCUGGGCUUAACUCAGAACGGCCAAGUGAUACUGCAGUGCUAGAGUGUGGAAGGGGCAAUCGGAAUUCUUGGUGUAGCGGUGAAAUGCGUAGAUAUCAAGAGGAACACCUGAGGUGAAGACGGGUUGCUGGGCCAACACUGACGCUGAUGCGCGAAAGCCAGGGGAGCAAACGGGA